Molecule: ribosomal RNA, 105 nt
Filed under: uncultured bacterium
Lineage: Bacteria
Description: partial 16S ribosomal RNA
Source: RNAcentral
GGGUUCGCUACGUAAGCUCUGUUGGUAGUAGAAAGAAAGAUAGGAGGUAGUAACUGGCCUUUAUUUGACGGUAAUUACUUAGAAAGUCACGGCUAACUACGUGCC